GACGUAGGGUGCAAGCGUUGUCCGGAAUCACUGGGUGUAAAGGGUGCGCAGGCGGGCGUGUAAGUCAGGGGUGAAAGCCACCGGCCUACCGGUGAACUGCCCUUGAUACUGCACCUCUUGAGUCCCGGAGAGGCUAUCAGAAUUCGUGGUGUAGCGGUGAAAUGCGUAAAUAUCACGAGGAAUACCUGAUGCGUAGGCGGAUAGCUGGACGGGUACUGACGCUCAGGCACGAAAGCGUGGGGAGCGAACAGG
RNAcentral lists this unclassified non-coding RNA (252 nucleotides) under uncultured Bacteroidota bacterium. RNAcentral's name for it is "uncultured Bacteroidetes bacterium contains 16S-23S intergenic spacer region". It matches the Rfam family "Bacterial small subunit ribosomal RNA", at positions 524 to 776 of the family's 1533-position model. Lineage: Bacteria; Pseudomonadati; Bacteroidota. The record is from RNAcentral.